GGGGGUGCACCGGUUUCGACUGGUACGGUUCGGGGUGCAGGCUGCAGGUGGAGUGCCGAUCUCCUGAUUCGGCAACAAUUUAACUGCCAACAACGACAGUUACGAUUACGCCUUAGCGGCGUAACCGCGUGGAACCCUUCCGCCGCCUUGAGGAAGGGCUUCCGCGUCGCAAUCGAGGCUGGCCGAUCCCCGGUUCCGGACGGGGUGAGGCGAGAAACUCCCGGAAUACGGACGGGCCGCGUGCCGCGCAGCCAAGCCCGUCCCGACAAUAUAAUGCGCGGCUAAAUCUGUAGAAGCCUGUAUUCCGCGUAUUAGGACGCGGGUUCGAUUCCCGCCACCUCCAAAA
This 346-nucleotide transfer-messenger RNA is filed under the name Spirochaetaceae bacterium. It matches the Rfam family "transfer-messenger RNA". Rfam says of the family: Bacterial tmRNA, also known as 10Sa RNA or SsrA, is named for its dual tRNA and mRNA-like properties. Its role is to liberate the mRNA from a stalled ribosome. To accomplish this part of the tmRNA is used as a reading frame that ends in a translation stop signal. The record is from RNAcentral. Lineage: Bacteria; Pseudomonadati; Spirochaetota; Spirochaetia; Spirochaetales; Spirochaetaceae.